RNAcentral lists this transfer RNA (79 nucleotides) under Mycolicibacterium fortuitum. RNAcentral describes it as "tRNA-Leu". It matches the Rfam family "tRNA". Rfam says of the family: Transfer RNA (tRNA) molecules are approximately 80 nucleotides in length. Their secondary structure includes four short double-helical elements and three loops (D, anti-codon, and T loops). Lineage: Bacteria; Bacillati; Actinomycetota; Actinomycetes; Mycobacteriales; Mycobacteriaceae. The record is from RNAcentral.
GUCCCCGUAGCCCAACCAGGUAGAGGCAGCCGGCUUAAACCCGGCCUUGGUGCGGGUUCGACUCCCGCCGGGGACACCG